CAAGUACUCCCUCCGUCCGGAAUUACUUGUCAUCAAAAAGGAUGUGUCUAGAACUAAAAUACAUAUAGAUACAUCCAUUUCAAUGACAAGUAUUUUUGGACGGAGGGAGUACAAG
Non-coding RNA from Triticum aestivum (bread wheat), 115 nucleotides. The record is from Rfam. NCBI's taxonomy places the organism in Eukaryota, Viridiplantae, Streptophyta, Magnoliopsida, Poales, Poaceae.